GAUGAAUGCUGGCGGCGUGCUUAACACAUGCAAGUCGAACGAAGCACCUUGAUUCGUUUCUUCGGAUGGAGAUCUUGGUGCCUGAGUGGCAGACGGGUGAGUAACGCGUGGGUAACCUGCCUCAUACCGGGGGAUAACAGUUAGAAAUGACUGCUAAUACCGCAUAAGACCACAGCACCGCAUGGUGCAGGGGUAAAAACUCCGGUGGUAUGGGCUGGACCCGCGUCUGAUUAGGUAGUUGGUGGGGUAACGGCCUCCCAAGCCGACGAUCAGUAGCCGAGCUGAGAGAGUGACCCGCGACAUUGAGACUGAGACGCAGUCCGAACUCCUACGGGAGGGAGGAGUGGGUAAUAUUGCACAAUGGGGGGAGUCAUGAUGGAGCGAGGACGGGAGAGCGAUGAAGUAGUGCGGGAAGUAAAGCUCUAUCAGCAGGGAAGAAAAUGACGGUACCUGACGAAGAAGCACCGGCUAAAUACGUG
Molecule: ribosomal RNA, 479 nt
Filed under: uncultured bacterium
Lineage: Bacteria
Description: partial 16S ribosomal RNA
Rfam family: Bacterial small subunit ribosomal RNA
Source: RNAcentral